GGAAGCUGGAAUGAAUGGUCGAAUAAGGAAAUGACUGUCUCUUUUUAAUUUAAUUGAAUUUUAUUUUUAAGUUAAAAAGCUUAAAUUUAAUAGAAAGACGAGAAGACCCUAUAGAGUUUAAUAAAUUUAUAUUUUUAUAGUUUAGGAUUUUAUUAUAUAAAAAUAUAUAUUUAUUUUGUUGGGGUGAUACUAGAAUUUAAUAAACUUCUUUUUUUUAAAUCAUUGAUUUAUGAAUAAAUGAUCCUAAUUUUUAGAUUAAAAGAAUAAAUUACCUUAGGGAUAACAGCGUAAUUUUUUUGGAGAGUUCAUAUCGAUAAAAGAGAUUGCGACCUCGAUGUUGGAUUAAAGUUAAAUCUUGGUGUAGAAGCUAAGAUUUUAAGUCUGUUCGAC
This 390-nucleotide ribosomal RNA is filed under the name Zonitis curticeps. Its description in RNAcentral is "partial large subunit ribosomal RNA". The stretch from base 279 to 390 matches the Rfam family "Bacterial large subunit ribosomal RNA", at positions 2473 to 2585 of the family's 2925-position model. The record is from RNAcentral. Lineage: Eukaryota; Metazoa; Arthropoda; Insecta; Coleoptera; Meloidae.